GGGGCUGUAGCUCAGCUGGUUAGAGCGCUUCCCUGUCACGGAAGAGGCCAGGGGUUCGAAUCCCCUCAGCCUCGCCC
RNAcentral lists this transfer RNA (77 nucleotides) under Candidatus Collierbacteria bacterium RIFOXYA2_FULL_46_10. Its description in RNAcentral is "tRNA-Asp". It matches the Rfam family "tRNA". Rfam says of the family: Transfer RNA (tRNA) molecules are approximately 80 nucleotides in length. Their secondary structure includes four short double-helical elements and three loops (D, anti-codon, and T loops). Further hydrogen bonds mediate the characteristic L-shaped molecular structure. tRNAs have two regions of fundamental functional importance: the anti-codon, which is responsible for specific mRNA codon recognition, and the 3' end, to which the tRNAs corresponding amino acid is attached (by aminoacyl-tRNA synthetases). tRNAs cope with the degeneracy of the genetic code in two manners: having more than one tRNA (with a specific anti-codon) for a particular amino acid; and 'wobble' base-pairing, i.e. permitting non-standard base-pairing at the 3rd anti-codon position. RNAcentral also lists the same sequence under 1 other name. Lineage: Bacteria; Candidatus Collieribacteriota. The record is from RNAcentral.